GGGCCGGUAGCUCAGUGGAAGAGUACCCGGUUUGCACCCGGGAGGUCGCGGGUUCAAAUCCCGCCCGGUCCA
This 72-nucleotide transfer RNA is filed under the name Thermofilum sp. ex4484_82. RNAcentral's name for it is "tRNA-Ala". It matches the Rfam family "tRNA". From Rfam's summary of the family: Transfer RNA (tRNA) molecules are approximately 80 nucleotides in length. Their secondary structure includes four short double-helical elements and three loops (D, anti-codon, and T loops). Lineage: Archaea; Thermoproteati; Thermoproteota; Thermoprotei; Thermofilales; Thermofilaceae. The record is from RNAcentral. RNAcentral also lists the same sequence under 2 other names.